RNAcentral lists this long non-coding RNA (330 nucleotides) under Phoenix dactylifera (date palm). RNAcentral's name for it is "long non-coding RNA (PDAC_LNC023144)". Lineage: Eukaryota; Viridiplantae; Streptophyta; Magnoliopsida; Arecales; Arecaceae. The record is from RNAcentral.
AUCUCAUCUUCCAGUUCCCAGGUAGCUUCUCUUUCUGAAUGAUGGCUCCACUGCACCUUGACAUAAGGUAUAACACGGUGUCUCAAAACUUGAUCUUUUCUGUCCACUAUCCACACUGGAUGCUCCUUAUAUGAUAGAUCUUCUCUAACUUGUAUAGGCUCAAGCUCCGUGACAUUACUUGGGUCUGGUAUAUAUUUCUUCAACAUCGAGACAUGGAAAACAUCGUGUACACCAGCCAGAGAGGGUGGCAGGGCAAGUCUGUAAGCCACCUUACCAAUUCUUUCUAAGAUCUCGAAUGGACCAACAAAUCUGGGAUUUAAUUUUCCUCGA